UCAUGGUGCCCAGUUGCACAGAACAGGCUACCUAGUUGCGCACGCUGUGUUAGUUCGAGCAUCAAAGAUAACACAACUAACUUGUUUGUCCUGUUCUGGCUAUAGGUGAUGCCAACCCUCAAAGACCUCCUCCACCUCCUGGCUGUACACGGCAUCCUCCGCCACCUCCUCCCCCGCGUGCUCCUCACAAUGGCCCUACAGGCAGCACUCAGGGGGCUCAUCGUCCAGGUAAUUACCUGCCCCAACUCCCCAUCAAACUAGGUCUGUAACUCCAGUUGCACACAUCAUGGUGCCCAGUUGCACAGAACAGGCUACCUAGUUGCGCACGCUGUGUUAGUUCGAGCAUCAAAGAUAACACAACUAACUUGUUUGUCCUGUUCUGGCUAUAGGUGAUGCCAACCCUCAAAGACCUCCUCCACCUCCUGGCUGUACACGGCAUCCUCCGCCACCUCCUCCCCCGCGUGCUCCUCACAAUGGCCCUACAGGCAGCACUCAGGGGGCUCAUCGUCCAGGUAAUUACCUGCCCCAACUCCCCAUCAAACUAGGUCUGUAACUCCAGUUGCACACAUCAUGGUGCCCAGUUGCACAGAACAGGCUACCUAGUUGCGCACGCUGUGUUAGUUCGAGCAUCAAAGAUAACACAACUAACUUGUUUGUCCUGUUCUGGCUAUAGGUGAUGCCAACCCUCAAAGACCUCCUCCACCUCCUGGCUGUACACGGCAUCCUCCGCCACCUCCUCCCCCGCGUGCUCCUCACAAUGGCCCUACAGGCAGCACUCAGGGGGCUCAUCGUCCAGGUGAUGCCAACCCUCAAAGACCUCCUCCCCCUCCUAGCCCAACUAGCAGUGCCCUGCGUGCUACUCCUAAUGGACCUACAGGCAGGACUCAGGGGGCUCAUCACCCAGGCGAUUACAAUCCAAGUACCAUGACGGGCCGUGCUACUACAGGUGAUCGUGAUGGUCCUACUGCCCCGUUGGAGGCUGCAUCCCCUGCACAAGCUUCUGAUGAUUUUGUGCCCAGGGAUCCUCCAAGGUCUACUACAAAGGGUAGGGUAAAGAGUCGACGGUACAAAUCGGCGCUGGAGCUACACCCAAAGAAGAAAAACAAAUGCAGCCAGUGCCAAUCUACAAAGCACACUGCUGGUGUGUGUCCACUCAGUCUACUGUGAUUCUGUUUCAUCGUUUGUAACUUUGGGACAAAAAAGGAAAAGAAUGAUGUUUUUUGAGCAAUGUUGGGACCAAGUGGACACAUUCAGCAUCUAUGAUUUCUCUUUAUCUAAUUUAUGCUCCUUGAAUUAGUUCAUGCACUGUGUAAAAAAGGUUGCUAUUUGUGCCUUUGUUGGCAACUGGUUAAAUAUUUAGUUGUUGAACAAUUGUAUGUCCAGUGCUCCUAAUGUAUCAACAAAAGUGAUGAUAUUGAGUUGCAAACGGAAUUACUACUAGUGUGCAACUACAAAAUCUGCUGAAAAAUUGUGCAAACCAGCAACUUCCUCCAUGGAGCAGAGAAACAAAAAGAGUACUGACCUAGUCCUUGUCGUAUCUCAGCAACUUCCUCCAUGGGGCGGUGUUGUGCACGCUGGUGACCCAAUCAUAUGCCAGCUUCUUCCUGAUGUUGAGUACUUCCUUGGGUUCGUAGUUGGGCAGUUGGCUACCGUUCCACUCGGUGGCGUUAAGCAGUGCGAACAGCCCACACUCAUUACUGCGAUGGG
Molecule: non-coding RNA, 1707 nt
Organism: Aegilops tauschii subsp. strangulata
Lineage: Eukaryota; Viridiplantae; Streptophyta; Magnoliopsida; Poales; Poaceae
Source: RefSeq, a predicted model, not a curated record